GCAGCUGACAUUUAAUGUGGAUAUGUGCAAGAUAAUGCAUCUUGGACGUAAAAACCCAAGGGCAGAGUACAGAAUAUUUGAUAGAGUUCUAACCUCAACAUAUGAGGAAAGGGAUUUAGGGGUGAUUAUUUCUGAUGACUUAAAGGUAGGCAGACAAUGUGAUAGACAUUGUAAUGCUAGCAGAAUGCUUGGUUGUAUAGGGAGAGGUAUUAGCAGUAGAAAGAGGGAAGUGCUCAUGCCAUUGUACAAAACACUGGUGAGACCUCACUUGAAGUAUUGUACACAGUACUGGAGACCGUAUCUUCAGAAGGAUAUUGAUACUUUAGAGAGAGUUUAGAAAAGGGCUACUAAAUUGGUUCAUGGAUUGCAG
Non-coding RNA from Pelobates cultripes (western spadefoot toad), 370 nucleotides. NCBI's taxonomy places the organism in Eukaryota, Metazoa, Chordata, Amphibia, Anura, Pelobatidae. The record is from the annotation of a GenBank genome assembly.